AACGCUGGCGGCAGGCCUAACACAUGCAAGUCGAACGGUAACAGGAAGAAGCUUGCUUCUUUGCUGACGAGUGGCGGACGGGUGAGUAAUGUCUGGGAAACUGCCUGAUGGAGGGGGAUAACUACUGGAAACGGUAGCUAAUACCGCAUAACGUCGCAAGACCAAAGAGGGGGACCUUCGGGCCUCUUGCCAUCGGAUGUGCCCAGAUGGGAUUAGCUAGUAGGUGGGGUAAAGGCUCACCUAGGCGACGAUCCCUAGCUGGUCUGAGAGGAUGACCAGCCACACUGGAACUGAGACACGGUCCAGACUCCUACGGGAGGCAGCAGUGGGGAAUAUUGCACAAUGGGCGCAAGCCUGAUGCAGCCAUGCCGCGUGUAUGAAGAAGGCCUUCGGGUUGUAAAGUACUUUCAGCGGGGAGGAAGGGAGUAAAGUUAAUACCUUUGCUCAUUGACGUUACCCGCAGAAGAAGCACCGGCUAACUCCGUGCCAGCAGCCGCGGUAAUACGGAGGGUGCAAGCGUUAAUCGGAAUUACUGGGCGUAAAGCGCACGCAGGCGGUUUGUUAAGUCAGAUGUGAAAUCCCCGGGCUCAACCUGGGAACUGCAUCUGAUACUGGCAAGCUUGAGUCUCGUAGAGGGGGGUAGAAUUCCAGGUGUAGCGGUGAAAUGCGUAGAGAUCUGGAGGAAUACCGGUGGCGAAGGCGGCCCCCUGGACGAAGACUGACGCUCAGGUGCGAAAGCGUGGGGAGCAAACAGGAUUAGAUACCCUGGUAGUCCACGCCGUAAACGAUGUCGACUUGGAGGUUGUGCCCUUGAGGCGUGGCUUCCGGAGCUAACGCGUUAAGUCGACCGCCUGGGGAGUACGGCCGCAGGGUUAAAACUCAAAUGAAUUGACGGGGGCCCGCACAAGCGGUGGAGCAUGUGGUUUAAUUCGAUGCAACGCGAAGAACCUUACCUGGUCUUGACAUCCACAGAACUUUCCAGAGAUGGAUUGGUGCCUUCGGGAACUGUGAGACAGGUGCUGCAUGGCUGUCGUCAGCUCGUGUUGUGAAAUGUUGGGUUAAGUCCCGCAACGAGCGCAACCCUUAUCCUUUGUUGCCAGCGGUCCGGCCGGGAACUCAAAGGAGACUGCCAGUGAUAAACUGGAGGAAGGUGGGGAUGACAUCAAGUCAUCAUGGCCCUUACGACCAGGGCUACACACGUGCUACAAUGGCGCAUACAAAGAGAAGCGACCUCGCGAGAGCAAGCGGACCUCAUAAAGUGCGUCGUAGUCCGGAUUGGAGUCUGCAACUCGACUCCAUGAAGUCGGAAUCGCUAGUAAUCGUGGAUCAGAAUGCCACGGUGAAUACGUUCCCGGGCCUUGUACACACCGCCCGUCACACCAUGGGAGUGGGUUGCAAAAGAAGUAGGUAGCUUAACCUUCGGGAGGGCGCUUACCACUUUGUGAUUCAUGACUGGGGUGAAG
This 1463-nucleotide ribosomal RNA is filed under the name uncultured organism. RNAcentral describes it as "SSU rRNA". It matches the Rfam family "Bacterial small subunit ribosomal RNA". The record is from RNAcentral.